AAGAGGAGCUGAUGCCCAUAUACUCCUCGAUGAGCUAUUUUAGCUUUUUCAGGUCAACAACCUUGAGUGCAGGACAUCCACAGAGAGCUUGAGAUCAGUUAUCUGUCAAACAGCGGAAGAAAUAUGCAAUGAGCUUGCUAAAAUAAAGGCAUUAGGACUCAAUAUUCACAGUUCAUACCUCCUGGGACAAAGCUUGGAUAUCUGCUGAAGAAUUAGCCACGCCUGCUGCACCACUUGACCUAUGUUGCUUGGGCCCUAUUGUCAAAAAAGGCAUCAAAUAAUACAGAAAGUCAUGACAAAAAGAGUAGAACGUGGUAAAACAAACAAACGAAAGUGGAGAACAUUCUAAGACCAAAGAUGUCAAGAAGCCAACCAGAGG
This is a long non-coding RNA of Prosopis cineraria, 379 nucleotides long. RefSeq lists it as uncharacterized. NCBI's taxonomy places the organism in Eukaryota, Viridiplantae, Streptophyta, Magnoliopsida, Fabales, Fabaceae. The transcript is spliced from 3 exons. The record is from RefSeq and is a predicted model, not a curated record.